RNAcentral lists this ribosomal RNA (285 nucleotides) under uncultured Thiobacillus sp. RNAcentral's name for it is "partial 16S ribosomal RNA". It matches the Rfam family "Bacterial small subunit ribosomal RNA", at positions 1093 to 1382 of the family's 1533-position model. The record is from RNAcentral. Lineage: Bacteria; Pseudomonadati; Pseudomonadota; Betaproteobacteria; Nitrosomonadales; Thiobacillaceae.
CGAGCGCAACCCUUAUCAUUAGUUGCUACGCAAGGGCACUCUAAUGAGACUGCCGGUGACAAACCGGAGGAAGGUGGGGAGUGACGUCAAGUCCUCAUGGCCCUUAUGGGUAGGGCUUCACACGUCAUACAAUGGUCGGUACAGAGGGUUGCCAAGCCACGAGGCGGAGCCAAUCCCACAAAAGCCGAUCGUAGUCCGGAUUGUUCUCUGCAACUCGAGAGCAUGAAGUCGGAAUCGCUAGUAAUCGUGGAUCAGAAUGUCACGGUGAAUACGUUCCCGGGUCUU